Molecule: ribosomal RNA, 240 nt
Filed under: uncultured bacterium
Lineage: Bacteria
Description: partial 16S ribosomal RNA
Rfam family: Bacterial small subunit ribosomal RNA
Source: RNAcentral
UACGUAGGGUGCGAGCGUUAAUCGGAAUUACUGGGCGUAAAGCGUGCGCAGGCGGUUCGUUGUGUCGGCGGUGAAAGCCCCGGGCUUAACCUGGGAACGGCCGUUGAAACUGGCGAACUGGAGUGUGGCAGAGGGGGUGGAAUUCCGGCGGUGUAGCAGUGAAAUGCGUAGAGAUGCGGAGGAACACCGAUGGCGAAGGCAGCCCCCUGGGCUAACACUGACGCUCAGGCACGAAAGCGU